CGGGGUGUAGCUUAGCUUGGUAGAGCGCCUGGUUUGGGACCAGGAGGUCGCAGGUUCAAAUCCUGUCACCCCGACCA
Molecule: transfer RNA, 77 nt
Filed under: Bradyrhizobium sp.
Lineage: Bacteria; Pseudomonadati; Pseudomonadota; Alphaproteobacteria; Hyphomicrobiales; Nitrobacteraceae
Also listed under: 3 other names
Description: tRNA-Pro
Rfam family: tRNA
About the family: Transfer RNA (tRNA) molecules are approximately 80 nucleotides in length.
Source: RNAcentral